This 34790-nucleotide long non-coding RNA is filed under the name Triticum aestivum (bread wheat). RNAcentral describes it as "long non-coding RNA (TAES_LNC021892)". Lineage: Eukaryota; Viridiplantae; Streptophyta; Magnoliopsida; Poales; Poaceae. The record is from RNAcentral.
GAAAUAGUAGUAGCGCCUCUAUAAUACCAAUGGUACUAGUAUCCUAAAUACCAGUAGCGUGCAAAUUUGUCCCCACGCCACUACUAACGAAUUAAGAAUUAAAAAAUUAAAAUCGACAAAUUCCAUUUUAUGCAUACAGUUAGAGAAAACACAAUAGUGAUGGAAAUAUCAUUAUUCCUGAUUAUACUAUUACACUGUUGCCGUAUCUACUAUCAUACAUUUCCUCAUUCUAACAUCCUCACUCCAAUAAUAAGAAAAAUAAAAAGGAAAAAUUGCGCUAAUCUGCCAGUGUAAUGUCCUUAUUGACGCUGGGACCUGAGCGGCUGAAGGGGGCGAAUAAGCGGACAUUGCCUUCAUCGACAUCGAGGAAGAUCCCGAUGAGGGGCGCCGGGUGGAGGGCGCGGAAGAGGUUGCAGAAGGAUCGGGAGGAGCGGACAGCGCCGAGCCACGAGCGGCAAGUGAGCGUGACGAGGACAAGGGCCGGCAGGCUCGACAGUCGGAGGAAGAUCUCAAGGAGCUGGUCUUGACCGAGCGAGGAUAUGGUGGUGGUUCCGUCGGCGGCGGUAGCUAGGGUAGUGGUAGUGGCCGUGGAGGGAAUCGAUGGAGGUUUCACCGCUGGAGCAUCCGGCGGCAGCAGCAACAGCUUGCUGCUAAUAGCUCAAGCCUCUCCAGGUGUUAACCUACAGGAGAGAGGGGAAAAUGUAAAGAUGAGAUAGUGUUCAUAUUAUUAGGAAGAAGUAGGCCAAUGUAGCUCACAUAAACAGAUCUGCUAGUAUGCAGAACACAAGCACCUGUUAUAGACCUGUUUGCAGUAGGAGCCAAUGGAACUGAAACACAAGUAGGACCUUAACAAACAACAAAAAAUAGAAGGACGACCUUGUGUGGUGGCUGAGGUGCAGAAGGGUGUCCUCCUGGUCAGCUCGGGCAUCCUCCUGCACCAAAUCGAACAGAAAAAGUUUGAAGCAUGUUGAAUAACUAAAAAUACAUGUAUAUAAUUUAGAAGCAACAGAAGCACAUAUAUCUCCUGUUUCUUCCUCAAAGUGUGCAUAUAGACAGGUCAGAUUAUUGAAUGCAUUGUUGCUGUAAAAAAUAUGUUGUUGAUGAAUUUGACUAGAUUUUAGAUAUGUUAAGCGGGGGCAAGAGUUUUCAGUCAAUCAACCUGCUGCAAUAGUACUAACUAGACUAGUCAGGUACGAAUUCGACGGCAAGGAAAUGAACACAAGAAGCAGCAGCAACUCCAAAUUUUGCAGCUUCAUUCACUUUAAAGAUAGCAGCAAUGUGGCACGCUUUGCUAACACCUUGAGAAAUCCAACUAGACCAAUCGGCAAACUAAAUUAUAGUGAAUUUUUGUGGGAGCAAGCAAAAUAAAUAAUUAGCAAACAAUGCAGUCAGUGUCCAUAUUAUUCAACACUAGAGUCUGACCAAGCAGCAAAAAUUCAGUAAAGCAUGUAUGUAUGUAGAUUCAAACUAGAAGAACCUUGACAUUGACAUUGAACUGUUGCUGCUCAUCCAUGGCUGGGCUCCAUGGUCCAUGACACGUAUACAUGUUUCUGGAUCAUGUGACUGCCUAUACUCUACAACCCAGAACUGUUUGCAUCCAUGAUUCCAUGUACCUCUUGGUUUCGACAAACCUGUCAAGGAUCAGAUUUAUGACAGAAACAGGUCAGUCAUGCCAUGUUUCAAGUCAUUUAGUCUACACCAUUUAAAACUUCUGAGUUACUGAACAAAAUCUGAGUAAAUGUUCUAGUUGGAUGUCGAAUUACCCCAUCAAGAGAAGCUGGACAAAGAAGAGUGUUGUGGUGUUGGCGAAAUCAAAUUUUAUGGCACCUGCUUCAAACCAUACUGGUAGGUUGCCGAGUCCUGAUACACGGAUCAGCUACACAGAAACACACCAAUUAGACCAUGUGAUAUGAUAGAAGCACAGCGGAGCAUUAAAGACAUCUAUUUCAUGUUUGAUUUCUGUAAGCAAGGAUGCUUCAAUGUGGAAAGAAUGCUAUCAAUAUUGGAAAAUGAAAUCCUAAGAUGCUCUUAUGGAGCUGAUAUGUUGUAUAUGAUUUUGCUGGCGUUGAGAUUGUAUAGUUCCUGUCUCAUAUCUUGGUUUCUCUUCUUUCUUUUAACAAGAGGGGAUCAUACCACCCUUCCAUUUCCACUAUCAAAAUUCAGAAGUCAUGAUUGGUUUCUCACUCUGUUUUUCAUAGUUUAUCACUUUAUAUCAUAAUUUAGGCACCUCUACAGCUAUUUUUUGCAAAAGCAAGCUUCAGUGCUAUGGUUACUGAGAACAUGCCGGCAUUUUGGAGGAAUUAACAAAGAGGUCAAGUGAGCAGCUUACAUCAGAUUCGAGGAUGCCGGCAACCCCUGCCAUGGCAAACCGGCAGUGCACGAGCUCGGCCUGGACGUACCACUUCAGGUCCUUGGGCUGCUUCCCGAGCCCCAGGGGAUCAGACCCAUAGUCACCAGGCAGCCUACAACGGCAACCACCAAGCAACCCAUCAUCCUAACAAGCAAACAUCGCCACCUGCAGAGAAUGCCGUCAGAGAUUACCAAAUCGAACCGCCAUGCUCCAAGCUCGCUCACGGAUUUCACCUCGAAACACGCACAAAUCAAGCCCCCGCGCUCCAACCUGCAAGCUUGCUCACCGAUUUCACCCGAGCCACGCACAAAUCGAACCCCCGUACAUCCUCCAAUCUCGCCCAUGGAUUUCACUCGAGCCACGCAUGGAUCGAACCCCCUUCAACAUCAACCUGCAGGCAUCAUGGAAGAGCAGGACCUUAAUUAUGUUGGAAAAAAAUGCAUUAUAAUGACUCCGCAUCAAACUAGACUAGGUAGUAGUGUCCGUCCGAUAAUAUCGGAGACAAAAUCAUCGUUGUUGUCACUGGUAAACUGAUUACAGCCGACCUCACUCACUCACUGCUAGGUGAUGGUAGUGAGGAGUAUAUGCUAAUAUCACAGACAAAACCAUCAAUGUUGUUGCUAGUUACAGCCGAACUCACUCGCCAACUCACUCACUGCUAGCGCUAGUAGUACAUUCUGACGGUGAUAGAUAUUACGCCCCGCACCGCAUAUAUAUUUGAGAAGCUGGCUAGAAGCAGAAGCACAGAUCAAUUCCGCUGAACCUGAGAGAGAGAGAGAGAGGCCAUCAUCAUACCUCAGGUGGGUGGGGGCGUGGUCGAGGCAGCGGUGGGGGGCCGGCGACGGCGACGGUGAUGGAGACGGAGACUCCGCGAUGUGUGGAGAGCGGCUUAGAGGGGCGGUGCUGCUUGCGGGUGCGGAGGCGACGACACCAUUACCAGCCUCCGGAUCUGGAGGUGGGGGAGCUCGGGGGAGCCAGGAGGCGGGCAGCGGCGGUGGAUCUGACGAGGGUGCGAGGGAGUGGAGACGCGGACACUGGGAUGUGAUGUGAUGUGUGUCACUUCUGCUGGAAUUUCGCAUGAAAUUCUGCCGCGUGCGUGCGAGGAACUGAUGGAUUUGACUCGGCGAAACCACGACGCCGGCGAGCAGAAACCACGACUGGGAGGAUCCUCACCUGCUCCGGAGGUGGGUGCGGCCGGGCAGGUGGGGGGGCGACGCCGCGAUGACGGCGGCGUGCGGAGGGCAGGGCGGCCGCGGGAGAGGCGAAGUGGGGGCGCCGUGGUGGGACGGGACGGGGGAGGCGAGGUCACAGAAGAAGGGCGACUGGCGCGUCGUGCGGCCGCGGGAGGAGGAGGAGGGGAUCGGAGGUAGAAGGUAGAUUUUUUAGACGGGGUGGGUGGAGUGGGACGACGGUUGGUGGGGUGGGGUGGAUCGGGGGUUGGGAGUGUGGAUUGGGCCGGGGUGGACACGCUUAGUAGUAGCGUGGGGUCUUACCUGCACUACUACUACUUAGUAGUAGCGCCGGUUUUAUACCCCUCGCUACUACUAUGGCCUAUCCCGGGGGCAUUGUUGGAGACCAUUUAGUAGCAGCGCGGGUUUAUACCCCUCGCUACUACUAUCAACUUAGUAGUAGCGUGGUUUUUAUACCCCUCACUACUACUAAUUAGCAGUAGCGCCCAUUUUUAAACCGUGCUACUGAUAAACUUCUGUGUAUAAGGUUUUUCCUAGUAGUGUAUUUAAAACAAAGUGAACAUUUUUCUGGCCUAAAAAUGCAAUUUUGAAAAAUGCAUAUUUUUUAUAAUUCAAAUAAAAUAGGAAUAAAAUCCAAAUAAAAUAUUUAUUUUAUUUUAACAUUUUUCCUCCAAUAUUUCUUUUCUUUUGGAGAAGUCAUUUUAUCUCCUCUCAUUAAUUUUUAUAUUGGAAAUAUUUCAAAGAGAAAAAUUAUUAAAACCAAAGUGAUCCUCCUUUCAAUAUUUGAAAAAAAUCAAAUAUGAAAAUAAAUGAAAUCCCCAACUCUCUCCGUGGGUCCUUGAGUUGCGUAGAAUUUCUAGGAUCGCAAACGAAAUGCAAGUAAAAUAUGAUAUGCAUAUGAUGACCUAUGUAUAACAUUCCAAAUUUGGGAUGUUACAAACCUACCCCCCUUAAGAUGAAUCUCGCCCUCGAGAUUCGGGUUGGCUAGAGAAUAGGUGGGGGUGGUCUUUCCAUAGGUCUUCUUCUCGCUCCCAGGUGGCUUCAUCCUUGGUAUGGUGGCUCCACUGAACUUUGCAAAACUUGAUAACCUUGCUGCAUGUGACUCGGCUGGCAAACUUGAGAAUCUUAACUGGUUUCUCCUCGUAAGUCAAAUCACUAUCCAGCUGAAUUUCUUCAAGGGGCACUGUAUCCCUCAAAGGAAUAUCAGCCAUCUCAGCAUGGCACAUCUUCAACUGAGAAACGUGAAACACAUCAUGAACUCCUGACAGUCCUUUGGGUAACUCCAACUUGUAGGCUACCUUUCCCAUACGCUCCAAAACUCGGUAUGGUCCUACAAAUCUCGGGGCUAACUUUCCCUUAACUCCAAAUCAUUUAACAUCUCGUAGAGGUGACACUCGUAGAUAUGCUUUGUCUCCGAUUUCGUAGACUACUUCCUUGCGUUUGGAGUCUGCAUAACUCUUCUGUCGGGACUGAGCUACCUUUAGUCUAUCUCAAAUCAACUUAACCUUUUCUUAGGAUUCUUUAAUCAAAUCUGGUCCAAACAACUGAUGGUCUCCAACUUCAUCCCACAUCAACGGUGUCCUGCACCUUCUUCCAUACAAAGCUCCGCAGGGUGCCAUCUUCAAACUGGCCUGAUAGCUGUUGUUGUAUGAGAACUCCGUCUAAGGCAAAUUAUCAUCCCAACUAGAUCCAUAAUCUAGCGCACAAGCUCUCAACAUGUCCUCCAGAAUCUGAUUGACUCUCUCGGUCUGCCCAUCUGUCUGUGGAUGAAAGGUUGUACUGAACUCUAGCCUAGUACCCAAAGUCUGGUGCAACUGAUUCCAAAACUUCGAGGUAAACUGUGUUCCUCUAUCUGAUACGAUGGUCCUCGGAAAUCCAAUGCAGACAUACGAUCCUGGUCAUAUAUAUCUUGGCCAACUUCGUAUAGGUGGUUUUCACUGGGAUAAAGUGAGCCACUUUGGUCAAACAAUCCACUACUACCCAAAUAGAAUCGUAUCCCGAUCAGGUCCUGGGUAAUCCGGUGAUGAAAUCCAUGCCAAGCUUGUCCCACUUCCAUUCGAGUAUAGGCAUAGGUUGCAGUAAUCCUGUUGGCUUCUGAUGUUCCGCCUUCACUCUCUGACAUACAUCACAUACUGCCACAUACUCGGCUGUAUCCUUCUUCAUACCAGUCCACCAGAAAUGCUCCUUUAAAUCAAAAUUCAUCUUGGUAUUUUCGGGGUGUAUUGAGUAUGGCGAGUCAUGAGCUUCCUGAAGUAUCAACUUCCUGAUCUCCGUAUUAUUGGGUACAUAUACACGAUCCUCAAACCAUAAUGUGUCAUGCUCAUCCUCACGAAAACCUUUGGCUUUUCCUUUGCUCAUCCUCUCUUUUAUCUUGGCAAUCUCCUUAUCAUCCUUUUGAGCUUCUCGAAUAUUUCCCAACAAUGUUGACUGAACUUCCAUCGCUGCGACAAAACCUCUAGGGACUAUCUCCAAACGAAGUUCCCUGAGAUCUUCGGCCAACUCUUUUGGUAAUCCUCCGCUUAUGAGGGUAUUGGCAUAACUCUUUCGGCUCAAAGCGUCUGCUAUGACAUUGGCCUUGCCUGGAUGAUAGUGCAACUUCAUAUCAUAAUCUUUUAUAAGCUCCAACCAUCUUCUCUGCCUGAGAUUUAGCUCCUUCUGUGUAAAAAUGUACUUCAAACUCUUAUGAUGUAUGUACACAUCACAACGGUUUCCGAUGAGAAAGUGUCUCUAGAUCUUGAGCGCAUGUACUACGGCUACUAACUCCAAAUCAUGUGUGGCAUAAUUCAACUCAUGCGGUCGAAGCUGUCAUGAGGCGUAUGAAACAACUCUUCCAUCUUGCAUAAGUACACCUCCAAGUCCUAAGCAAGAAGCGUCGCAAUACACUUGGAAAUCCUUGCGUAUAUCCAGCAGAAUCAACACUGGGGCUGUAACCAAACGUUUCUUCAGCUCCUGAAAACUUGCCUCACAUUCAUCUGUCCAUUUGAACUUAGUGUCCUUCUUUAACAACUCCGUCAUAUGCUUCACAAUCUUGGAAAAAUUCUCAAUAAAUCUCCGAUAAUAUCCCGCGAGUCCCAGAAAACUGCGGAUCUCUCCUACUGAGGUUGGUGCUAGCCAAUCGGUGACUGACUAAACCUUGGUAGGGUCUACUGCUAUACCUUCUCCUGAUAUAACAUGUCCAAGAAAUCCAACUUCCUUCAACCAAAACUCACAUUUGAUGAACAUGGCAUACAACUAGUUUUCCCUGAGCUUCUCGAGAACUAAAUGCAAAUGUUCCUUGUGCUCCUCUUCAUUCUUUGAGUAUACCAAAAUAUCAUCAAUAAACACCACAACAAACUUAUCCAAGAACUCCAUGAACACCUUAUUCAUCAUACUCAUAAAAUAGGCAAGGGCAUUAGUCAGUCUAAAUGACAUAACUGUGUACUCAUACAGCCCAUACCUUGUGGUGAACGUUGUCUUAGGUAUAUCCUGCUCUCGGAUCUUCAGCUGAUGGUAUCCUGAUCGCAGAUCGAUCUUGGAAAAUACUUUAUCUCCUUGCAACUGGUCAAACAAAUCGUUGAUCAUCGGUAGUGGGUACUUGUUCUUAAUCGUCACUUCAUUCAAUGAAUGAUAAUCAACAACCAUUCUCAGCGUUCCAUCCUUCUUCUCAACUAAAAGUAUUGGGGAUCCCCAUGGUGACGAACUUCGCCGAAUGUAACUUUUCUCCAACAACUCCUUAAUCUGCUUCUUGAUUUCCUCUAGAUCAUUUGCGGGCAUCCGAUAUGGUCUCUUCGAUAUCGGUCCGGUGCCUGGCAACAGCUCUAUCAAAAACUCAAUAUCUUGAUCCGGUGGCAUGCCUGGUAGUUCCUCCGAAAAUACGUCUGGGUAAUCCUUCACUACCGGCACUUCCUCCUGAACAACUCCUGAGAGAGAAUUUACUUGGGUCCAACUUGGCGCAUGCCUGGAUACAUACUUAAUCAUUUUUCCCUCCGGGGUGGUGAGCAUAAUUGACUUAUUGGCACAAUCGAUGUUUUCCCCAUACAUCGAUAACCAAUCCAUGCCCAAUAUCACGUCCAACCCUUGUGACUCCAGAAUUAUUAAAUCUGAGGGGAAAACAUCCCUACCUAUGGUCAACGGCAUCUGAAAACAUCCUUUGCUUGCCAUAUACUCCGCUCCUCGCGAGCUUACUAACAUAGGUGUCCUAAGAACUUUGGUGGGCAACUUAUACUUAUCCACAAAUCCCUUUGAUAUGUAUGAACGUGAUGCACCAUUAUCAAAAAAACGAUUGCGGUAAAUGACUUAACCAAAAACUUACCUAUAACUGCAUCUGGCUACUCUUCAACCUCCUCCACAUUAACGUGGUUCACUUGUCCCCUGUUGAAAGGGUUGGGCUUCUUCCCAGAGCUUCAAUUUCCAUUACCAUUCUUUGCUUAAGAACACUCGGUGGUGUAGUGUCCAUUCUUCCCGCACUUGAAACAAGUAAUGUGACUUAGAUCCUUAUUGGCGGGCGUUGUUGGGUUGGGACGGUUCUGGCUACUGCUUCAUCCAUUCCCAUUCACAUUCUUGUGUCCACUAUGAUUAUGCGAACUUCCUCCAUUGGGACUGUGGCCUCAUGGUUAUGGUGAGUGUGUCCUCCCGAGUUCGGGGUAAAACGAGGUCUCUGCUGAGUUCCUGAAUUGGACUUCCCUUGUCCAUACUUCCUCUUGCGGCUCUCUAUCUGCUGUUGCUUCCCUUCAAUCAUAAGAGCUCUAUCUACCAACUCCUCGUAGUUGUCGAAUGUUGCCACCAUCAAUUGCAUGCUCAGAUCAUCAUUCAGUCCUUCCAGAAACUUCUCCUGCUUAGCGGCAUCUGUAGCAACGUCAUCAGGGGCAUAGCAUGCUAACUUACUAAACUCAUCCACAUACUGGCCCACUGUGCGUCCUCCUUAGCGCAAGUUGCGAAACUCAUGCUUCUUCAUGUUCAUAGCUCCUGCUGUAACAUGCGCAGUGCAGAAAGCCUAUUGAAACUGAUCCCAUGUAACAGUGUCAAUGGGGUAAGUGGCUGUGAAAUUCUCCCACCAUGAUGUUGUGGGUCCAUCAAGCUGAUGUGCGGCAAAACACACUCUCUCCGCAUCUGUUCAUCCUGCAGUGGUCAGCUCCCUUCCAAUCUUGCAGAGUCAAUCAUCUGCCAUAAUCGGCUCGGUGCUACUAGAGAACACCGGUGGAUUUAACCUUAGAAAACAGGCUAAGUGAUCAACAGGCGGUGGUGGUGGUGGGUUGUUAUUGUUGUUGCCUUGGUUCUGAUUCUGAACUAAUAGAUGCAUCAGGGUAUUCUGCUGCUGGAUCAACUGAGUGAGCUCCAGUGGGAAGGCAAAUCCAUUGUCACGUCUCGAAGGCAUCUUAUGGGUUUAUAAAGGGUGAGAAAACAGAAUAAAAUGAGGUCUAAAGGGAAAACACUACCCAUAUGCACAUGAGACAAACACAUUCAUAUCUCACCAAUCAAUUCAAACAAGGGCAUACAAAUGACCUAGCUACCGUUACAAAAGUGCUCGGACUAAUACUAUGUACAUGGGGCGAUACUACUAAUCAUAUGGUGGUCGACUAGAAAUUUUGAUCGGUGGAAGAUUCCAUGAUAUCCGCUCCAACUUCGUCUUUGUAAUCAUCAUCACUACUUUCGGGGUCACAAUCGAUGUCGUUAAUGAUGAUGUAGUCCUGAGAACGGAUGUCCUUGGAAUGGUCGUCAUCUCCUCCUAGCGCGGGGUCUCCCAUGAAUACUCCUAGCUUCCUCGUCAGGUCGUCAUUAUUCUCCACUAGUAUUGUGAUUUCCUCCUCAUAUCCGUCGCGUGCAGACUUGAGUUCCUCUUCUAGCUCCAUGUUCCUGGUCAUCACCUUCUUCAGAUCUAUCAUGCUUGCGCACAUCUAGUUCUCCUGGCGACGAAUCUGCUGGUUUAACUCCUGGAUGAAGGCUGUAAUGGACCUGUCCCUCCUGGUGCUGAUCAUCUCCCAUUGCUCAUCUCGGCGCUCACAUAUCUAGUAGAUAGUGUCAUUAAGAUCCUUGUGAUAAACUUCACCGAUGCUUCCCAUGGUGAUGUGGGUUGCCAUGCUCUUUUCUAGACUCCAGGUUGGUGCAUCAAAGGAAAACUCUAUGGGCUCAGUAACUGGCGUGAAUGUCCUUCCUGGAACUUGAGCUCGAAUCAUCCAACGCUCCUAUUCUAGUAAAGUGGCGGUGUAGGUCCCGGUGAAGCUUGGUAUCCCAAUGUUCAGGUACCUAGUGACUUCCUUCAAGUGUCAUCCAAAAGGUGUGUCUUCAUCCGGUUGUGCAAAAUUGUUCCUUGAGUCUGCCAUCCUAUAGAGUGGAAAAGGGAGAGGAGUCAGAAAUGAGUAGAUUAGAGUGACCUAAGGUUUAACUUAGUGGUCGUGUCCUACAAUCAGCGUGUGCUCUGAUACCAUCUUGUAGCGAUCCGACCUCAAGCAGUCAAAUCUCUAUGCUUACUUAUCAUCCCUGGAUCGGUAAUGCUGACACACACACAGUACUCGAAGGAUUUAUAACAGAGUGCAAUCACGCACUUAUUACAUUAAACGUCUCAAAGAGAACUUAUUACAAUACUAUGGGUUAAGGCCAUCUAAAUAAGAUAACAGCGGAAGGCUUGGAAGAUAAAGUGAGUCCAUCAACUCAAAUGGCAUAGAUGAGUGCAUGUCAAUGACCUAGCGCACCUUACUCUUCGUCUGAAAAAUCUGCAACAUGAUAUGUUGCACCCCGAAAUGGGUCAGCACAUGGAAUAUGCUGGCAAGAUAACACAAUAGAACAAUGAACAGAAUAAAUACUAUCUCUACAUGCAUAUAUGGCUGUGGAGGCUCUAAGUUUAUUUUUGCGUAAAGCCAAUUUUAUCCUGCAACAAAGGAAUAUAUUUUAUUUAACUAUCAUGGUGGUUGUUAAACAUUGAGAAGGUUACUCCAACUCAAUCCCAAUUAAACAGUGUUAAUAACCCAACAAUUUAAUUUUAGACUGAUGAGAUCAACAUGAUAAUCUAAGACCAGAUACUCAAGAUGUCCAUAACCGGGGACACGACUAACCAUGAUUAGUUUGUACACUCUGCAGAGGUUUGCGCACUUUUUCCCACAAGACUCGAUCUCCUCCGUUGGAUAUUUUCGCACUACAUGGUGUUUGAGAAACGGAUGACCGAGACGUAGUCUUUCAGAAACAUUAACUCUUUACUCUGGGUGUACAGUUACACCUACUUUCCCCUACAUCUGCUAGACCACCACUGAAAGAGGUCAUGCAACAUACUCAACUAUGCUAGACCCCAUAAUAGCUUGUGGCUGCACACGGAAGUUUCUAGCAUGAAUAAUCUUAUGAUCCCUUUCUAGCAUGAAUAAUCUUAUGAUCCCUUUCAUCCUGGGUGGCGAACCGUAGGAUGAUCUCACGGGUACUCUGGGAUAUCCUAGGACAACACUGGAUUCUCCAGGUGCCCGCAACCAAUCCACCUAAAUGUGUAUUAAGGUAGCAACCUUAAGUUAACCAUUAAAUAACAACUAUCACAUUUGUCAUGGAUACACUCAACCAAUCCACGUCUACGAGCAUAGCAUGGCAACCUAAGCAUAACUUAGAAGUAACUCCCAAGGGUUUGAUAAUAAAAGGGCAAUAGGUUCUACCUCAUCAUCUACUUCCCAAACCCACAUGUUAAUCAGAUCCUAAUCAUGCAAUGUUUGAGGAUUGGAACUAAUGCAAAAAAACUGGGUAAUAAAAGAUAUGAUCAAGUGUUACUUGCCUUGCUGACGAUCUGCAAACCCUAGAGACUCGUAGUAGCACGCUUCGCACUCCCGGAAUUCUAUCACAAACAAACAAUAGCAUACAUACGCACUCAAGCAUAUAUGCACGAGUAAAACUCAAAUAAGAAGAUCAAAUCUGAAAGUUCACCUGAAGAGCUUCGAUUUGCAAAAAGAAUCAAUCGAAUUGGAGCAACGAAACUCAAACUACGAUCAAAAGGAGUUCAAAUUCAAAUCUGCUUGAAACCAAAUUUUAAUAUGUCAAAACAAUGUUCAAGUUGAUUAACCAGAAAGAGGGGCUCAAGAUGAAGAUUUUGGUGUUGGUUUCACAGGAUUUGGACGAACGGUUGAAAAGUUGCGAGAGUUUGAAUAUCAAGGACUGAUGUGCGAUAAAAAUAAUCACGGAUAAGUCCCUGCUGAUAAAUAAAAUGGAAAAAGAAAAAUCUAUCGGACGAACGUCCGCUAACAGAGGAAAACGAAUGAAUUCGUUCGUUAUAAGAACCAAACGAACGAACGUUCACGGAAUAGAUCUGAACCAAAAAAACCGAUCUACUAAAAAAACGAAUCUAGGGUUUACCGAAAUAAACCGAAGAAAAGCGGAGAAAAACCGGUCGGCGGAGGCAGCGGAUCCGAACAGCGACGGCAGCGGGCGGCGGCGGCGUCAGCGCGGGGCUUNNNNNNNNNNNNNNNNNNNNNNNNNNNNNNNNNNNNNNNNNNNNNNNNNNNNNNNNNNNNNNNNNNNNNNNNNNNNNNNNNNNNNNNNNNNNNNNNNNNNNNNNNNNNNNNNNNNNNNNNNNNNNNNNNNNNNNNNNNNNNNNNNNNNNNNNNNNNNNNNNNNNNNNNNNNNNNNNNNNNNNNNNNNNNNNNNNNNNNNNNNNNNNNNNNNNNNNNNNNNNNNNNNNNNNNNNNNNNNNNNNNNNNNNNNNNNNNNNNNNNNNNNNNNNNNNNNNNNNNNNNNNNNNNNNNNNNNNNNNNNNNNNNNNNNNNNNNNNNNNNNNNNNNNNNNCGGCGUCCGUGCGUAGCACGGCGGCGGGGAAGGCGGCAGCGCGCGGGAGUGGGCCGGCUAGGCUUCGGGCCAGUCGGUCCGGGAAUUGUUUUUUGUAAAAAAAAAUCCGCCAAAGAAAAUCCUAAUAAAAUAUGUAAAAAUUUCUAAAAAUGCCAAAAACAAUUUUGCCGUCUAAAUAAAAUAUUUAGAACAAAGUGAACAUUUUUCUGGCCUAAAAAUGCAAUUUUUAAAAAUGCAUAUUUUUUCUAAUUCAAAUAAAAUAGCAAUAAAAUCCAAAUAAAGUAUUUAUUUUAUUUCAACAUUUUUCCUCCAAUAUUUCUUUUAUUUUGGUGAAGUCAUCUUAUGUCCUCUCAUUAACUUUUAUAUUGGAAAUAUUUUGGAGAGAAAAAUUAUUAAAACAAAAGUGAUCCUCCUUUCAAUAUUUGAAAAAAUUCAAAUAUGAAAAUAAAUGAAAUCCCCAACUCUCUUCGUGGGUCCUUGAGUUGCUUAGAAUUUCUAGGAUCGCAAAGGAAAUGCAAGUAAAAUAUGAUAUGCAUAUGAUGACCUAUGUAUAACAUUCCAAAUUGAAAAUUUGGGAUGUUACAAUCAUCUUGGUUGAGCAUCAUGUCAUGUUUAUGUGUUGUGUGUUUAUCAUGUUGUUUGCUUCUUUCCGGUUAUGCUUCUUCUCGAUAGUUCCUGUUUCGUUGCGAUCGUGAGGAUUCGUUCGUCUAUGCUUGGUUCGUCUUCGCCCGUUCGUCUUCUUCAUGGACUCGUUCUUCUUCCUAGCGGGAUUUCAGGCAAGAUGACCGUCACCUUGGAUCUCACUACUAUCUUUGAUAUGCUGGUUGUCUUGAUGCUAUCGCUAUGUCGCGCUACCUACCACUUGUUUAUCAAGCCUCCCAAAUUGCCAUAUAACAAUAUCUCUUAUUUAAUUAAUGCAUCUAUAUACUUGCUAAAGGGUGGAAGGCUUGGCCUUAUGCCUGGUGUUUUGUUCCACUCUUGCCGCCCUAGUUUCUGUCAUACCGAUGUUAUGUUCCUUGAUUUUGCGUCCCUAACACGGUGACGGGUAUGGGACCCUCUUGACAGUUCGCUUUGAAUAAAACUCUUCCAGCAAGGCCCAACAUUGGUUUUCCAUUUGCCUAAUAACAACUAAAACUUAAAUAGGGGAUUUUCGCUGGGCCCCUAGUUUUCUUAAUCAACCCCCCCCCCCCCGGGGGGCCAGAGGUCCUAUGAGUGUUGGUCCGAACCAAGUAGACUGCGGGGCCACCUCGGGGAAACUCGAGGGUUGGUUUUACUCGUAGGAUGUCUCAUCCGGUGUGCCCUGAGAAUGAGAUAUGUGCAGCUCCUAUAAGGAUUUGUCGACACAUUUGGGCGGUCUUGCUAGUUUUGUUUUACCAUUGUCGAAAUGUCUUGUGCACUGGGAUCCCGAGUCUGAUCGUAUGUCCUGUGAUGGAGGAUUGUAUCCACGGAUCGUGAGCUUAUAAUGGGCUAAGUUGGGACACCCCUGCAGGGUUCAAACUUUUGAGAGUCGCGCCCGCAGUUAUGUGGCGGAUGGGAGUUUUUAAUAUCCGGUUGUAGAGAACUUGACACCAUAUUAGAAUUAAAAUACACCAACCGCGUGUGUACUCGUGAUGGUCUCUUUUUGGGUAAGUUCGAGAAGAGAACACGGUGGGGUUAUGUUUGAACGUAAGUAGUUCAGGAUCACUUCUUGAUCAUUACUAGUUUGCGACCGUUUGCGUAGCUUCUCAUCUUAUUCUUGUACUCGUAAGUUAGCCACCAUACAAUGCUUAGUCGCUUGCUGCAACGUCGCCACUUAUCCAUUCCAUACCUACUAAGCUUUGCUAGUCUUGAUACCCAUGAUAAUGGGAUUGAUGAGUCCUCGUGGCUCACAGAUUACUACAACAACAGUUGCAGGUACAGGUAAUGCGAUGAUCAUAACGUGAGAGCGAUGUAUGCUUGUCUUGGGGUUGUUCUUCUGCUACUUCUUCGUUCAGGGGAUAGGUUCCUGGUCGACAGCCUGGGCUAGCAGGGUGGAUGUUGUUUGAGUUUCCGUUUGUGUUUCAUCCAUAGUCGGAUGUUGUUGUUGUGUAUGAUGUUGUUGUAUUCAUGUGGCAUUUUAUGCUUCUUGUAUUUAUCCCCAGCUAUUAUGUAAUGGUACGAUGUAAUGAUAUCCACCUUGCAAAAGCAUCUCCAAUAUGUGCUUCUAUCCUUGGUGGGACCUUCGAGUUCCUUUAGUGUAGGGUCGCAUAUUGGACAUGACAGGAGGAAAGUAGAACUUGAUGAGGUAAUUGUACCUCCUCUCGAAUUGGAAUGUAGUACAUCAGAGAAAAUAGUUCCCGUGAUGCCUACACCUAACAUAGAGUAAACUAAUGCUGAUGAUCAUGAAGCUUCAGAUCAAGUUACUACAGGACCUCGUAGGUCAAACAGAACACGAACCGCACCAGAGUGGUAUGGUAAUCCUGUACUUGAAGUUAUGUUGUUGGACAACAAUGAACCUACGAACUAUGAAGAAGCUAUGACAAGCCCAGAUUCCGACAAAUGGCUCAAGGCCAUGCUGAGAUAGGAUCCAUGUAUGAGAACAAAGUGUGGACUUUGGUAGACUUGCCCGAUGAUUUCCAAGCCAUUGAGAAUAAAUGGAUCUUCAAGAGGAAGACAGAUGCUCACGGUAACACAUUACUGUCUACAAAGCUCGACUCGUCGCAAAAAGUUUUCGACAAGUUCAAGGAGUUGACUACAUUGAGACCUUCUCACCCGUAGCGAUGCUUAAGUCUGUCCGAACCAUGUUAGAAAAUGCCACAUUUUAUGAUUAUGAAAUUUGGCAAAUGGAUGUCAAAAAUGCAUUCCUUAAUGGAUUUCUUAAAAGAAGAGUUGUAUAUGAUGCAACCAGAACGUUUUGUCAAUCCUAAAGGUGCUAACAAAGUGUGCAAGCUCUAGCGAUCCAUCUAUGGACUAGUGCAAGCAUCUCGGAGUUGAAAUUUACGCUUUGAUGAGGUGAUCAAAGCAUUUGGUGUCAUACAGACUUAUAGUGAAGCCUGUAUUUACAAGAAAGUGAGUGAGAGCUCUGUAGCAUUUAUGAUAUUAUAUGUAGAUGACAUAUUAUUGAUAGGUAAUGAUAUAGAAUUUCUGGAUAGCAUAAAAGGAUACUUGAAUAAGAAUUUUUUAAUGAAAGACCUCGGUCAAGCUGCUUACAUAUUGGGCAUCAAGAUCUAUAGAGAUAGAUCAAGACGCUUAAUUGGACUAUCACAAAGCACAUACCUUGAUAAAGUUUUGAAGAAGUUCAAACUGGAUCAGUCAAAGAAAGGGUUCUUGCCUAUGUUACAAGGUGUGAAAUUGAGUAAGACUCAAAGUCCGACCAUGGCAGAAGAUAGAGAGAAAAUGAAAGUCACUCCCUAUGCCUCAGCCAUAGGUUCUAUUAUGUAUGCCAUGUCGUGUACCAGACCUGAUGUGUGCCUUGCCAUAAGGUUGGCAGGGAGGUACCAAAGUAAUCCAGGAGUGGAUCACUAGACAGGGUCAAGAAUAUCCUGAUGUACCUGAAAAGGACCAAGGAUAUGUUUCUCGUUUAUGGAGGUGAAGAAGAGCUUGUCAUAAAGGUUACGUCGAUGCUAGCUUCGACACAGAUCCGGAUGACUCUAAGUCACAAAUCAGAAACGUAUUUUUAUAAAUGGUGGAGCUGUCAGUUGGUGCAGUUCUAAGAAGAGCGUCGUGGCGAGAUCUACGUGUGAAGCGGAAUACAUUGCGGCUUCGGAAGCAACACAUUAAGGAGUCUGGAUGAAGGAGUUCAUAUCCGAUCUAGGUGUAAUACCUAGUGCAUCGGGUCCAAUGACAAUCUUUUGUGACAAUACUGGAGCAAUUGCAGUAGCAAAGGAGCCCAGAUUUCACAAGAGAACAAAGCACAUAAAAUGGCGCUUCAACUCCAUUCGUGAUUACGUCAAGGAUGGAGACAUAGAAAUUUGCAAAGUACACACGGAUCUGAAUGUGGCAGACCCGUUGACUAAGCCUCUCCCAAGGGCAAAACAUGAUCAGCACCAAGACUCUAUGAGUGUUCGAUUCAUUACUAUGUAAUCUAGAUUAUUGACUCUAAUGCAAGUGGGAGACUCAACGAAAUAUGCCCUAGAGGCAAUAAUAAAGUUGUUAUUUUAUAUUUCCUUAUGUCAUGAUAAAUUUUUAUUAUUCAUUCUAGAAUUGUAUUAACCGGAAACUUGAUACAUGUGUGGAUACAUAGACAAAACAUUGUGUCCCUAGUAAGCCUCUACUAGACUUGCUCGUUAAUCAAAGAUGGUUAAGUUUCCUAGCCAUGUACAUGAGUUGUCAUUUGAUAACGGGAUCACAUCAUUAGGAGAAUGAGGUGAUGGACAAGACCCACCCGUUAGCUUAGCAUAUUGAUUGUUUCAGUUUGUUUGCUACUGCUUUCAUAAUGUCAAAUACAUGUUCUUUAGACCAUGAGAUCAUGCAACUCCCGGUCACCGGAAGAAUGCCUUGUGUGCUAUAAAAUAUCACAACGUAACUGGAUGAUUAUAAAGAUCUCUACAGGUAUCUCCGAAGGUGUCUGUUGGGUUGGUGUGAAUCAAGAUUGGGAUUUGUCACUCUGAGUUUCAGAGAGGUAUCUCUGGGCCCUCUAUGUAUACACAUCAUAAGAAGCCUUGCAAGCAAAGUGACUGGGUCACAGGAUGAUGUAUUACGGAACGAGUAAAGAGACUUGCCGGUAACGACAUUGAACUAGGUAUGAAGAUACCAAUGAUCGAAUCUCGGGCAAGUAGCAUACCGAUGGACAAAUAGAACUGUGUAUGUUGUCAUAGCGGUUCGACCGAUAAAGAUCUUCGUAGAAUAUGUAUGGUCCAAUAUGAGCAUCCAGGUUCCACUAUUGGUUAUUGAUCAGAGAGUCGUCUCCGUCAUGUCUACAUAGUUCUCGAACCCAUAGGGUCCGCACGCUUAACAUUCGAUGACGAUUUGUAUUGUAUGAGUUAUGUGUUUUGGUGACCGUAUGUUGUUCGGAGUCCCAGAUGAAAUCACGGACUUGACGAGGAGUCUCGAAAUGGCCGAGAGAUAAAGAUUGAUAUAUUUGAAGGUUGUAUUCACACACCAGAGUGUUCCGAAAUGUAUCGGGUACAUAUCAAAGUACUGGAGGGGUUACCGGAACCCCUCGGGGAAAGUUAUGGGCCACAUGGGCCGUAGGAGGGAGGCUAGCCAGCCCACUAGGGGUGCCCCCCAUGGAAGGAGGCCAAAUUGGAGUAGGGGAGGGGGCCUCACCCCCCCCCCUUUCCAUCUUCCUCUCCCUCUCCUUCCCCCUUUCCCCUUUCGGUAAAAGUAAAAGAGGGGGGCCGAAUCCUACUAGGACUUGGAGUCCUAGUAGGACUCCUCUCCCCUUGGCGCACGCCCCCUGGACGGCCUCAUCUCCCUCCCUCCUUUAUAUACAGAGGGGGCACCUCUAGUACACAAUAAUUGUUCCUAGCCGUGUGUGGCGCCCCCCUCCACAGUUUACGCCUCCGGUCAUAUUGUCAUUGUGCUUAGGCGAAGCGCCGCAUGGAUCACAUCACCAUCACCGUCACCAUGUCGUCGUACUGACGGAACUCAUCUACUUCCUCGACCCUCUACUGGAUCAAGAGCUCGAGGGACGUCAUCGCGCUGAAUGUGUGCAGAACUUGGAGGUGCCGUGUGUUUGGUACUAGAUCGGUUGGAUCCUGAUCGGAUUGCGAAGAGUACGACUACAUCAACCGCGUUAAUCUAACGCUUCCGCUUUCGGUCUAUGAGGGUACUUGGACACACUCUAUCCCCCUCGUUGCAAUGCAUCUCCUAGAUAGAUCUUGCGUGAUCGUAGGAAAUUUUUUGAAAUCGCAUGCUACGUUCCCCAACAAUUCUUUACCUCUCAACCAUUUCGAGACUCCUCGUCAUGUCCAUGAUAUCAUUCGGGACUCCGAACAACAUUCAAUCACCAAUCAUAUAACUCAUAUAACACUAUAUUGCCAUCGAACGUUAAGCGUGCGGAACCUACGGGUUCGGGAACUAUGUAGACAUGAUGGAGAUGAAUCUCCGAUCCAUAACCAAUAGUGGAACCUGGAUGCUCAUAUUGGCUCCUACAUAUUCUACGAAGAUCUUUAUCGGUCGAACCGUUAUGACAACAUACGCAGUUCUUUUUGUCCAUCGGUAUGUUACUUGCCCGAGAUUCAAUCGUAGGUAUCUACAGACCUAGUUCAAUCUCGUUACUGGCAAGUCUCUUUACUCGUUCCAUAAUACAUCAUCCUGUGACCUAGUCACUUUUCUUGCAAGGCUUCUUAUGAUGUGUAUUACCGAGAGGGCCAAGAGAUACCUCUCUGAAACUCGGAGUGACAAAUCCCAAUCUUGAUUCACACCAACCCAACAGACACCUUCGGAGAUACCUGUAGAGCAUCUUUAUAAUCACCCAGUUACGUUGUGAUGUUUGAUAGCACACAAGGCAUUCCUCCGGUGACCGGGAGUUGCAUGAUCUCAUGGUCUAAAGAACAUGUAUUUGAGAUUAUGGAAGCAGUAGCAAAUAAACUAAAACGAUCAAUAUGCUAAGCUAACGGAUGGGUCUUGUCCAUCACAUCAUUCUCCAAAUGAUAUGAUCCCGUUAUCAAAUGACAACUCAUGUCCAUGGCUAGGAAACUUAACCAUCUUUGAUUAACAAGCUAGUCUAGUAGAGGCUUACUAGGGACACGAUGUUUUGUCUAUGUAUCCACACAUGUAUCAAGUUUCCGGUUAAUAAAAUUCUAGCAUGAAUAAUAAACAUUUAUCAUGACAUAAGGAAAUAUAAAAUAACAGCUUUAUUAUUGCCUCUAGGGCAUAUUUCCUUCAGUAUCCCACUUGCACUAGAGUCAAUAAUCUAGAUUACAUAGUAAUGAAUCGAACACCCAUAGAGUCUUGGUGUUGAUCAUGUUUUGCCCUUGAAAGAGGUUUAGUCAAUGGGGCUGCCACAUUUAGAUCCGUGUGUACUUUGCAAAUUUCUAUGUCUCCAUCCUUGACGUAAUCACGAAUGGAGUUGAAGCGCCGUUUGAUGUGCUUGGUUCUCUUGUGAAAUCUAGGCUUCUUUGCUAUUGCAAUUGCUCCAGUAUUGUCACAAAAGAUUUUCAUUGGACUCGAUGCACUAGGUAUUACACCUAGAUCGGAUAUGAACUCCUUCAUCCAGACUCCCUCAUGUGAUGCUUCCGAAGCCGCAAUGUAUUCCGCUUCACACGUAGAUUCCACCACGACGCUCUGUUUAGAACUGCACCAACUGACAGCUCCACCAAUUAAUAAAAAUACGUAUCCGGUUUGUGACUUAGAGUCAUCCGGAUCUGUGUUAAAGCUAGCAUCGAUGUAACCCUUUACGACGAGCUCUUCUUCACCUCCAUAAAUGAGAAACAUAUCCUUGGUCCUUUUCAGGUACUUCAGGAUAUUCUUGACCGCCGUCCAGUGAUCCACUCGUGGAUUACUUUUGUACCUCCCUGCCAAACAUGGCAGGGCACACAUCAGGUCUGGUACACAGCAUGGCAUACAUAAUAGAACCUACGUCUGAGGCAUAGGGAAUGACUUUCAUUUUCUAUUUAUCUUCUGUCGUGGUCGGACUUUUAGUCUUACUCAAUUUCACACCUUGUAACACAGGAAAGAACCCUUUCUUUGACUGGUCCAUUUUGAACUUCUUCAAAACAUUAUCAAGGUAUGUGCUUUGUGAAAGUCCAAUUAAGCGUCUCGAUCUAUCUCUAUAGAUCUUGAUGCCUAAUAUGUAAGCAGCUUCACCGAGGUCUUUCAUUGGAAAAUUCUUAUUCAAGUAUCCUUUUAUGCUAUCCAGAAAUUCUAUAUCAUUUCCUAUCAAUAAUAUGUCAUCCACAUAUAAUAUCAGAAUUUCUACAGAGCUCCCACUCACUUUCUUGUAAAUACAGGCUUCACCAAAAGUCUGUAUAAAACCAAAUGCUUUGAUAACCUCAUCAAAGCGUAAAUUCCAACUCCGAGAUGCUUGCACCAGUCCAUAGAUGGAUCACUAGAGCUUGCACACUUUGUUAGCAUCUUUAGGAUCGAGCAAACCUUCUGGUUGCACUAUAUACAACUCUUCUUUAAGAAAUCCAUUAAGGAAUGCAGUUUUGAUGUCCAUUUGCCAAAUUUCAUAAUCAUAAAAUGCGGCAAUUGCUAACAUGACUCGGGAAGACUUAAGCAUCACUACGGGUGAGAAGGUCUCAUCAUAGUCAACCCCUUGAACUUGUUGAAAACCUUUUGCGACAAGUCAUGCUGCGUAGACAGUAAUGUUACCGUCAGCAUGUGUCUUCCUCUUGAAGAUCCAUUUAUUCUCAAUGGCUUGCCGAUCAUCGGGCAAUUCCACCAAAGUCCACACUUUGUUCUCAUACAUGGAUCCUAUCUCAGAUUUCAUGGCUUUGAGCCAUUUGUCGGAAUCUGGGCUUGUCAUCGCUUCUUCAUAGUUCGUAGGUUCAUCGUUGUCCAACAACAUAACUUCCAGGACAGGAUUACCGUACCACUCUGGUGUGGUUCAUGUUCUGUUUGACCUACGAGGUCCAGUAGUAACUUGAUCUGAAGUUUCAUGAUCAUCAUCAUUAGCUUCCACUCUAUUAGGUGUAGGCAUCACGGGAACUAUUUUCUCUGAUGUACUACUUUCCAAUUUGAGUGGAGGUACAAUUACCUCAUCAAGUUCUACUUUCCUCCCACUCACUUCUGUCGAGAGAAACCCCUUCUCUAGAAAGGACCCAUUCUUAGCAACAAAGAUUUUGCCUUCGGAUCCGUGGUAGAAGGUAUACCCAAUAGUUUCUUUCGGGUAUCCUAUGAAGACGCACUUCUCCACUUUGGGUUUGAGCUUAUCUAGUUGAAGCCUUUUGACAUAAGCAUCACAUCCCCAAACUUUAGGAAAUGAUAGCUUAGGUUUAUUUCCAAACCAUAGUUCAUACGAUGUCGUCUCAACGGAUUUAACGGUGCCCUAUAUAACGUGAAUGCAACUGUCUCUAAUGCAUAACCCCAAAAUGAUAAAGGAAAAUCAGUAAGAGACAUCAUAGAUCGCACCAUAUCAAAUAAAGUACGGUUACGACGUUCGGACGCACCAUUACGCUAUGGUGUUCCAGGUUGCAUGAGCUAUGAAACUAUUCCACAUUGUUUCAAAUGGAGGCCAAACUCGUAACUCAAUUAUUCGCCUCCGCGAUCAGAUCGUAGAAACUUUAUUUUCUUGUUACAAUGAUUCUCUACUUCACUCUGAAAUUCUUUGAACUUUUCAAAUGUUUCAGACUUGUGUUUCAUUAUGUAGAUAUAACCAUACCUACUCAAAUCAUUUGUGAAGGUCGGAAAAUAACGAUACCCGUCGUGUGCUUCAACACUCAUCGGACCGCAUACAUCGGUAUGUAUAACUUCCAACAAGUCAUUAGCACGCUCCAUUGUUCCGGAGAAAGGAGUUUUAGUCAUCUUGCCCAUGAGGCAUGGUUCGCAAGUAUCAAAUGAUUCAUAAUCAAGUGAUUCCAAAAGUUCGUCAGCAUGGAGUUUCUUCAUGCGCUUUACACCAAUAUGACCUAAACGGCAGUGCCACAAAUAUGUUGCACUAUCAUCAUUAACUUUGCAUCUUUUGGCAUCAAUAUUAUGAAUAUGUGUAUCACUACUAUCAAGAUUCAAUAAGAAUAGACCAUUCCUCAAGGGUGCAAGAACAUAAAAGAUAUUACUCAUAUAAAUAGAACAACCAUUAUUCUCUGACUUAAAUGAAUAAACAUCACGCAUUAAACAAGAUCCAGAUAUAAUGUUCAUGCUCAACGCAUGCACCAAAUAACAAUUAUUUAGGUCUAAAACUAAUCCUGAAGGUAGAUGUAGAGGUAGCUCCCGAUGGCAAUCACAUCAACUUUCGAACCAUUCCCAACACGCGUCAUCACCUUGUCCUUAGCCAGUCUUUGUUUAAUCCGCAGCUCCUGUUUCAACUUACAAAUAUGAGCAACCGAACCAGUAUCUAAUACCCAUGCGCUACUUCGAGGACUAGUAAGAAACACAUUAAUAACAUGUAUAUCAAAUAUAUAUAUACCUUUGUUCACUUUGCCAUCCUUCUUAUCCGCCAGAUACUUGGGGCAGUUCCGCUUCUAGUGACCAUUCCCUUUGCAGUAAAAGCACUCAGUCUCGGGCUUAGGUCCAGACUUGGGUUUCUUCGCGGGAGUGGCAACUUGCUUGCCAUUCUUCUUGAAGUUCCCCUUCUUUCCCUUUCCCUUCUUCUUGAAACUGGUGGUCUUGUUAACCAUCAACACUUGAUGGUCUUUCUUGAUUUCUACCUCCGCUGAUUUCAGCAUCGCGAAGAGCUCGGGAAUUGUCUUACUCCAUCCCUUGCAUAUUAUAGUUCAUCACAAAGCCUUUGAAGCUUGGUGGAAGUGACUAAAGAACUCUGUCAAUAACACUCUCAACUGGAAGAUUGAUUCCCAGCUGAGUCAAGUGGUUGUGGUACCCAGACAUUCCGAGUAUGUUCACUAAUAGAACUAUUCUCCUCCAUCUUACAGCUAUAGAACUUGUUGGAGACUUCAUAUCUCUCAACCCGGGCAUUUGCUUGAAAUAUCAAUUUCAGCUCUUGGAACAUCUCAUAUGCUCCAUGACAUUCAAAACGUCUUUGAAGUCCUGGUUCAAGGCCGUAAAGCAUGGCACACUGAACUAUUGAGUAGUCAUCAGAUCGAGCUUGCCAGACGUUCAAAACAUCACCAUCUGCUCCUGCAGCAGGUCUGUCACCUAGCGGUGCAUCAAGGACAUAAUUCUUCUGUGCAGCAAUGAGGAUAAUCCUCAAGUUGCGGACCCAGUCCGUGUAGUUGCUACCAUCAUCUUUCAACUUAGCUUUCUCUAGGAACGCAUUAAAAUUCAACGGCACGGUAGUAUGGGACAUUGAUCUACAACAUAGAUAUGCAAAAAACUAUAUGACUAAGUUCAUGAUAAAUUAAGUUCAAUUAAUCAAAUACUAAAGAACUCCCACUUAAAUCAACAUCCCUCAAGUUGUCUAAGUGAAACAUGAUCCAUAUCGACUAAAUCAUGUCUGAUCAUCAUGUGGGAUGGAGUAGCUUUCAGUGGUGAACAUCACAUGUUGAUCAUAUCCACUAUAUGACUCAUGUUCGACCUUUCGGUCUCUAGUGUUCCGAGGCCAUGUCUGUGUUGGGAAAUGUGGUAAUUUCAAAAAAAAUCCUACGAUCACGCAAGAUCUAUUUAGGUGAUGCAUAGCAAUGAGAGGGGAGAGUGUGUCCACGUACCCUCGUAGACCGAAAGCGGAAGUGUUUCAAUAACGCAGUUGAUGUAGUCGAACGUCUUCGUGAUCGAACCGAUCCAAGUACCGAACGUACGGCACCUCAGCGAUCUGCACACGUUCAGCUCGGUGACGUCCCUCGAACUCUGGAUCCAGCUGAGGACGAGGGAGAGUUCCGUCAGCACGAUGCCAUGGUGACGGUGAUGAUGAAGUUACCGGCGCAGGGCUUCGCCUAAGCACUACGACGAUAUGACCGAGGUGGAAAACUAUGGAGGGGGCAUCACACACGACUAAAGAUCAACUUGUGUGUCUAUGGGGUGCCCCUUGGCCACGUAUAUAAAGGAGGGGAGGGAAGAGGUGGCCGGCCCAAGGGGGGCGCGCCAGGUGUGGGGAAUCCUACUAGGACUCCCCAGUCCAAGUAGGAUUCCCCUCCUCUUACCUAUUCCUAGUAGGAGAAGGAGGGAAGGAGGAAGAGGGGAGCAGGAAGGAGGGGGGCGCCGCCCUCCUAUUCCAAUUCGGACCAGCCCAUGGGGGGGCGCGCGGCCACCCCUUGAGGCCCUUUCUCCUUUCCUGUAUGGCCCAUUAAGGCCCAUUACUUCCCCCGGUGAAUUCCCGUAACUCUCCGGUACUCCGAAAAAUACCCGAAUCACUCGGAACCUUUCUGAUGUCCGAAUAUAGCCUUCCAAUAUAUCGAUCUUUACGUCUCGACCAUUUAGAAACUCCUCGCCACGUCCGUGAUCUUAUCCGGGACUCUGAACAAACUUCGCUCAAUUCACAUAACUCAUAAUACAAUUCUAGCAUAAAUAAUAAACAUUUAUCAUGAAAUAAGGAAAUAAAUAAUAACUUUAUUAUUGCCUCUAGGGCAUAUUUCCUUCAGUCUCUCUCUUGCACUAGAGUCAAUAAUAUAGUUUACAUCACCAUGUGAUUUAACAUCAAUAGUUCACAUCUGUAUGUGAUUAACACCUAUAGUUCACAUCGCCAUGUGACCAAUAACCAAAGGGUUUACUAGAGUCAAUAAUCUAGUUCGCAUUGCUAUGUGAUUAACACCCAAAGAUUACUAAGGUGUGAUCAUGUUUUGCUUAUGAGGGAAGUUUAGUCAACUGUUCUGUCACAUUGAGAGCCGUAUGUAUUUUGCAAAUAUUCUAUGUCUACAAUGCUCUACACGGAGCUACUCUAGAUAUUUGCUCCCACUUUCAAUAUGUAUCCAGAUUGAGACUUAGAGUCAUCUGGAUCGGUGUAAAAGCUUGCAUCGACGUAACUCUUUACAAUGAACUCUUUAUCACCCCAUAACCGAGAAACAUUUCCUUAGUCCUCAUUAAGGAUAAUUUUGACCGCUAUCCAAUGAUCUACUUCUAGAUCACUAUUGUACCCCAUUGCCAAACUUAAGGAAAGAUACACAAUAGGUAUGGUAGACAACAUAGCAUACUUUAUAGAACCUAUGACUGAAGCAUAGGGAAUGACUUUCAUUCUCUUUCUAUCUUCUGCCAUGGUCGGGCUUUGAGUCUUACUCAAUUUUACACCUUGUAAUACAAAAAAGAACUCCUACUUUGACUGAUCCAUUUUGAACUCUUUCAAAAACAUGUCAAGGUAUAUACUCAUUGAAAAAUCUUAUCAAGCGUCUUGAUCUAUCUAUAUAGAUCUUGAUGCCCAAUAUCUAAGCAGCUUCUCCAAGGUAUUUCAUAGAAAAACUCUUAUUCAGGUAUCCCUUUAUGAUAUCCAGAAAUUCUAUAUCAUUUCCAAUCAACAAUAUGGCAUCCACAUAUAAUAUCAGGAAUGUUACAGAGCUCUCAUUCACUUUCUUGUAAAUACAGGCUUCUCCAAAAGUCUGUAUAAAACCAUAUGCUUUUAUCACACUAUCAAAGCGUUUAUUCCAACUCGAGAGGCUUGCACCAGUCCAUAAAUGGAUUGCUAGAGCUUGCACACUUUGUUAGCACCCUUUGAUCGACAAAACCUUCUGGUUGCAUCAUAUACAACUCUUCUUUCAGAAAUCUAUUCAGGAAUGCAGUUUUGACAUCCAUCUGCCUGAUUUCAUAAAAUAUGGCAACUUAAGCAUUGCCACGGGAGAGAAAGUCUCAUCGUAGUCAACUCCUUGAACUUGUCGAAAACCUUUUGCGACAAGUCAAGCUUUGUAGAUAGCAACACUACUAUCAGCGUCCGUCUUCCUCUUGAAGAUCCAUUUAUUCUUAAUGGCUUGCCGAUCAUCGGGCAAGUCCACCAAAGUCCACACUUUGUCCUCAUACAUGGAUCCCAUCUCAGAUUUCAUGGCCUUAAGCCAUUUCGCGGAAUCUGGGCUCAUCAUCUCUUCCUCAUAGUUCGUAGGUUCAUCGUGGUCUAGUAACAUGACUUCCAGAAUAGGAUUACCGUACCACUCUGGUGUGGAUCGUACUCUGGUUGACCUACGAGGUUUGGUAGUAACUUGAUCUAAAGUUUCAUGAUCAUCAUCAUUAGCUUCCUCACUAAUUGGUAUAGGAAUCACUGGAACAGAUUUCUGUGAUGAACUACUUUCUAAUUCGGGAGAAGGUACAAUUACCUCAUCAAGUUCUACUUUCCUCCCACUCACUUCUUUCGAGAGAAAAGUCCUUCUCUGGAAAGGAUCCAUUCUUAGCAAUGAAUAUCUUUCCUUCGGAUCUGUGAUAGAAUGUGUAACCAACAGUUUCUUUUGGGUAUCCUACGAAGAUACAUUUCUCCUAUUUGGGUUUGAACUUAUUAGGUUGAAGCUUUUUCACAUAAGCAUCGCAGCCCCAAACUUUAAGAAAUGAUAACUUUGGUUUCUUGCCAAACCACGAUUCAUAAGGCGUCAUCUCAACGGAUUUCGAUGGUGCCCUGUUUAACCUGAAUGCAGCUGUCUCUAAUGGAUAACCCAAAAACGAUAAUGGUAAAUUGGUAAGAGACAUCAUAGAUCGCACCAUAUCCAAUAAAGUGCGGUUACGAUGUUCGGACACACCAUUACGUUGUGGUGUUCCAGGUGGCGUGAGCCAUGAAACUAUUCCACAUUGUUUUAAAUGAAGGCCAAACUCGUAACUCAAAUAUUCUCCUCCACGAUCAGAUUGUAGAAACUUUAUUUUCUUGUUAAGAUGAUUCUCCACUUCACUCUGAAAUUCUUUGAACUUUUAAAAUGUUUCAGACUUGUGUUUCGUUAAGUAGAUAUACCCAUAUCUACUGAAAUCAUCUGUGAAGGUCAGAAAAUAACAAUACCCGCCAUGAACAUCAAUACUCAUUCGACCGCAUACAUCAGUAUGUAUUAUUUCCAAUAAGUCAGUAGCUCGUUCCAUUGUUCUGGAGAACGGAGUUUUAGUCAUCUUGCCCAUGAGGCACGGUUCGCUAGCACCAAGUGAUUCAUAAUCAAGUGAUUCCAAAAGUCCAUCAGCAUGGAGUUUCUUCAUGUGCUUUACACCAAUAUGACCCAAACGGCAGUGCCACAAAUAAGUUGCACUAUCAUUAUCAACUUUGCAUCUUUUGGCAUCAAUACUAUGAAUAUGUGUAUUACCACGAUCAAGAUUCCAUAAACCAUAAACAUUGGGUGUAUGACCAUAGAAGGUUUUAUUCAUGUAAACAGAAUAACAAUUAUUCUCUGUCUUAAAUGAAUAAUCAUAUCGCAAUUAACAUGGUCUAAUCAUAUUCAUGCUCAAAGCAAACACCAAAUAACAUUUAUUUAGGUUUAACACUAAUCCUGAAAGUAUAGGGAGUGCUCGAUGAUGAUCAUAUCAAUCUUGGAACCACUUCCAACACACAUCGUCACUUCAUCCUCAACUAGUCUCUAUUUAUUCUAUAACUCCUAUUUCGAUUUACUAAUCUUAACAACCGAACAAGUAUCAAAUACCCAGGGAUUACUACGAGCACUAGUAAGGUACAUAUCAAUAAUAUGUAUAUCAAAUAUACCUUUGUUCACUUUGCCAUCCUUCUUAUCCGCCAAAUAUUUGGGGUAGUUCCACUUCCAGUGACCAUUUUCUUUGUAGUAGAAGCACUCAGUUUCAGGCUUAGGUCCAGCUUUGGGCUUUCUCACGGGAAUGACAACUUGCUUGCCAUUCUUCUUGAAGUUCCCUUUCUUUCCCUUUGCCCUUUUCUUGAAACUAGUGGUCUUGUUUAAUCAUCAACACUUGAUGCUCUUUCUUAAUUUCUACCUUCGUCGAUUUUAGCAUCACGAAGAGCUUGGGAAUCUUUUUUGUCAUCCCUUGCAUACUAUAGUUCAUCAUGAAGUUCCAGUAACUUGGUUAUGGCGACUAGAGAACUUUGUCAAUCACUAUCUUAUCUGGAAGAUUAACUCCCACUUGAUUCGAGUGAUUGUAGUACCCAGACAUUCUGAGCACAUGCUCACUAGCUGAGCAAUUCUCCUCCAUCUUUUAGGCGAAGUACUUGUCAGAGGUCUCAUAUCUCUUGACACGGGCAUGAGUCUAAAAUACCAAUUUCAGCUCUUGGAACAUCUCAUAUGCUCAGUGGCGUUCAAAACGGUUUUUGAAAUCCCGGGUCUUAGUCGUAAAGCAUGGUGCACUAAACUAUCAUGUAGUCAUCAUAUUGAGCUAGCCAAACGUUCAUAAUGUCUGCAUCUGCUCCUGCAAUAGGUCUGUCGCUUAGCGGUGCAUCAAGGACAUAAUUCUUCUGUGCAGCAAUGAGGAUAAACCUCAGAUUACGGACCCAGUCCGCAUCAUUCCUACUAUCAUCUUUCAACUUAGUUUUCUCUAGGAACAUAUAAAAAACAUAGGGAAGCUACAACAUGAGCUAUUGGUCUACAACAUAAUUUACAAAAUACUAUCAGGACUAAGUUCAUGAUAAAUUAAAGUUCAAUUAAUCAUAUUACUUAAGAACUCUCACUUAGAUAGACAUCCCUCCAGUCAUCUAAAUGAUCACGUGAUCAAAAUCAACUAAACCAUGUCCGAUCAUCAUGUGAGAUGGAGUAUUUUUCAAUGGUGAACAUCUCUAUGUUGAUCAUAUCUACUAUAUGAUUCACGCUCGACCUUUCGGUCUCCAGUGUUCUGAGGCCAUAUCUGCAUAUGCUAGGCUCGUCAAGUUUAACCCGAGUAUUCUGUGUGUGCAAAACUAGCUUGCACCCAUUGUAUGUGAACGUAGAGCCUAUCACACCUGAUCAUCACGUGGUGUCUCAGCACGAAGAACUGUCGCAACGAUGCAUACUCAGGGAGAACACUUAUACCUUGAAAUUUAGUAAGGGAUCAUCUUAUAAUGCUACCGCCGUACUAAGCAAAAUAAGAUGCAUAAAAGAUAAACAUCACAUGCAAUCAAAAUAUGUGACAUGAUAUGGCCAUCAUCAUCUUGUGUUCAUGAUCUCCAUCACUGAAGCAUCAUCAUGAUCUCCAUCUUUACCGGCGCGACACCUUGAUCUCCAUCGAAACAUCGUUGUCGUCUCUCCAACUAUUGUUACUAUGACUAUCGCUACCGCUUAGUGAUAAAGUAAAACAAUUACAUGGCGAUUGCAUUGCAUACAAUAAAGCGACAACCAUAUGGCUCCUGCCGGUUGCCGAUAAUUUUGUUACAAAACAUGAUCAUGUCAUACAACAAUUUAUAUCGCAUCAUGCCUUGACCAUAUCACAUCACAGCAGGCCCUGCAAAACAAGUUAGACGUCCUCUACUUUGUUGUUGCAAGUUUUACCUGGCUGCUACGGGCUUCUAGCAAGAAUCGUUCUUACCUACGCAUCAAAACCACAACAAUUUUUCAUCAAGUGUCAUGUUUUAACCUUCAACAAGGACCGGACGUAGCCACACUCGAUUCAACUAAAGUUGGAGAAAUAGACACCCGCCAGCCACCUAUGUGCGUAAGCAUGUCGGUAGAACUAGUCUCAUGAACGCGGUCAUGUAAUGUCGGUCCGGGCCGCUUCAUCCAACAAAACCGCCGAAUCAAAGUAUGACAUGCUGGUAAGCAGUAUGACUAUUAUCGCCCACAACUCUUUGUGUUCUACUCGUGCAUAUAACAUCUACGCAUAAACCUGGCUCUGAUACCACUGUUGGGGAAUGCGGUAAUUUCAAAAAAAAUCCUACGAUCACGCAAGAUCUAUCUAGGUAUACAUAGCAACGAGAGGGGAGAGUGUGUCCAUGUACCCUCGUAGACCGAAAGCGGAAGCGUUUCAAUAACACAGUUGAUGUAGUCGAACGUCUUCGCGAUCCAACCGAUCCAAGUACCGAACGUAUGGAACCUCCGCGAUCUGCACACGUUCAGCUCGGUGACGUCUCUCAAACUCUUGAUCCAGCUCAGGCCGAGGGAGAGUUCCAUCAGCACGACGACGUGGUGAAGGUGAUGAUGAAGUUACCGGCGCAGGGCUUCACCUAAGCACUACGAUGAUAUGACCGAGGUGGAAAACUGUGGAGGGGGGCACCGCACACGGCUAAAGAUCAACUAGUGUGUCUAUGGGGUGCCCCUGGCCACGUAUAUAAAGGAGGGGAGGGAAGAGGUCGCCGGCCCAAGGGGGGGGGCUAGGUGUGGGGAAUCCUACUAGGACUCCCUAGUCCAAGUAGGAUUCCCCUCCUCUUUCCUAUUCCUAGUAGGAGAAGGAGGGAAGGAGGAAGAGGGGAGAAGGAAGGAGGGGGCGCCGCCCCCUCCUAGUCCAAUUCGGACAACCCAUGGGGGAGGGCGCGACCACCCCUUGAGGCCCUUCUCCCCUUUCCUGUAUGGCCCAUUAAGGCCCAUUACUUCCCCCAGUGAAUUCCCGUAACUCUCUGGUACUCCGAAAAAUACCAGAAUCACUCGGAACCUUUAUGAUGUCCGAAUAUAGCCUUGCAAUAUAUCGAUCUUUACGUCUCAACCAUUUUGAGACUCCUUGUCAUGUCUGUAAUCUUAUCCGGGACUCCGAACAAACUUCGGUCAUCAAAUCACAUAACUCAUAAUACAAAUGGUCAUCAAGCGUUAACCGUGCGGACCCUACGGGUUCGAGAACUAUGUAGACAUGACCGAGACACAUCACUGGUCAAUAACCAAUAGCGGAACCUAGAUGCUCAUAUUGGCUCCUACAUAUUCUAUGAAGAUCUUUAUCGAUCAAACCGCAUAACAACAUACGUUGUUCCCUUUGUCAUCGGUAUGUUACUUGCCCGAGAUUCGAUCGUCGGUACCAUCAUACCUAGUUCAAUCUCGUUACCAGCAAGUCUCUUUACUCAUUAUGUAAUACUUCAUCCUGCAACUAACUCAUUAGUCACAAUGCUUGCAAGGCUGAUAGUGAUGAGUAUUACCAAGAAGGCCCAGAGAUACCUCUCUGAAACACAGAGUGACAAAUCCUAAUCUCGAUCUAUGCCAACCUAACAAACACCUUCGGAGACACCUGUAGAGCACAUUUAUAAUCAUCCAUUUACGUUGUGACGUUUGGUAGCACACAAAGUGUUCCUCCAGUAUUCGGGAGUUGCAUAAUCUCAUAGUCUGAGGAACAUGUAUAAGUCAUGAAGAGAGUAGUAGCAAUGAAACUGUAACGAUCAUAAUGCUAAGCUAACGGAUGGGUCAUGUCCAUCACAUCAUUCUCCUAAUGAUGUGAUCCCGUUCAUCAAAUGACAACACAUGUCUAUGGUUAGGAAAUAUAACCAUCUUUGAUUAACGAGCUAGUCAAGUAGAGGCAUACUAGGGACACUAUGUUUUGUCUAUGUAUUCACACAUGUACUAAGUUUCCGGUUAAUAUAAUUCAUGAUAAAUAAUAAACAUUUAUCAUGAAAUAAGGAAAUAAAUAAUAACUUUAUUAUUGCCUCUAGGGCAUAUUUCCUUCAGUAUGUACAUGCUAGGCUCGUCAAGUCUAACCAAAGUAUUCAUCGUGCGUAAAAACUGGUUUACACCCGUUGUAUGUGAACGUAGAGUCUAUCACACCCGAUCAUCACGUGGUGUCUCGAAACGACGAACUAUCACAAUGGUGCAUACUUUAGGGGGAACACUAUUACCUUGAAAUUAAGUGAAGGGAUCAUCUUAUAAUACUACCGUCGAUAUAAGCAAAAUAAGAUGCAUAAAAGAUAAACAUCAAAUGCAAUCAAAAAUAUGUGACAUGAUAUGGCCAUCAUCAUCUUGCGCUUUUGAUCUCCAUCUCCAAAGCAUCGUUAUGAUCUCCAUUGUCACCGGCUUGACACCUUGACCUCCAUCGUAGCGUUGUGAUUGUCUCACCAACUAUUGCUACUACGACUAUUGCUAACUCAUAGCGAUAAAGUAAAGCAAUUACAUGGCGUUUGCACUUCAUACAAUAAAGAGACAACCAUAAGGCUCCUGCCGGUUGUCGAUAAAUUACAAAACAUGAUCAUCUCAUACAAUAAUGUAUAAUUCAUCAUGUCUUGACCAUAUCACAUCACAACAUACCCUGCAAAAGCAAGUUAGACGUUCUCUAUUUUGUUGUUGCAAGUUUUACAUGGUUGCUACGGGCUUCUAGCAAGAACGGUUCUUACCUACGCAAACCACAACGGUGAAUUAUCAAGUUUAUUGUUUUAACCUUCUUCAAGGACCAGCCGCAGUUAAAUUUGAUUCAACUAAAGUAGGAGAAACAGACACCCGCCAAUGUAUCUUCAUUUGUUUGUAAUUUUAAUGUAAUUCUCCUUUUCUUUUGCAGAGGCGGAAACGAUCCUAUGAUUUCCCCAUUUGUUCAACAUUCACUAGUUAUUCUGGAAAGUUUUUCUCAGGUGUUGUGCAACCAAAUAGAGAAGAAAAGUUAACAAGUAUCCUUCCAUCAUGUCAGCAAGUAUUUUUGAGAGAUUUUUCUGAACCUGUGGAUUGCCUCUUGGUGUUGUGCAUCUGUUUUUUCCCUUGCUUCUCUCUGGGCACUUGUCCUUUUCACAUGCCUCUCUGUUCUUUGCUCUUCUCUCUCCCUCUCUCCCAUGGCGUCUGCUCUUUCUUCUUCUCUCUCCCCUCUCCCAUGGCGCCUCCCAGAUUAGUUCUGUGUGUUAGGUGAGAUCUGUGAAUUGGUUAGAGUAGUAGAGUUCGGGCCCUUGUGUAGGAUGCAAGUUGAAGGAGGAUCCUAGGAAUCGCAGUCGCCAGCUGUUUUCUGAUUUUAGUUUUUUUUCUUUGUCAGGUGAUUUGUGUUCCAGAAAAGGGUAAGGAGUGUGGGCGACCGAUCCAGUGGGUUUUUUAUUUUGGUUAGUUAUAUUAGAACCAGGUCAGAUUUUCCAGCCCGACCCAUUUUUUUGGGCAAACAAACAUACAAUUGUCGUAGGUUUAUGGACACACAGCUGUCAAUAUUUGAUUUGUCUAGAAAUUUGAAUGUUUUCCAAUUGUAAAUCAGUCAAAUGCUAAAUAGAUAGUCCCUUCUUUUAAACCAACAAAUUUGCAUCACGCGCGGUUGUGCCCAAACACAAAAUACAUCAGCAAACUUCACACGUGCUUCGCCCUGCCUCUGCCUUCUUCCUCCCAACGAAGCACCGUCCAUUGCGUCGGCCUAUCCCCACCCACGACGACCCCUUGCCGUGGAUCCGCACAUGGCAUCCCCACCCACGACGACCCCUUCCAGUGGAUCUGCGCAUGGAGCAAUGCCAGCGUCGGGCAAGGCAGAUGCGUUGGUGCGGGAACGGAACCCCGAGCAAGAGAGGUCGCACAGCUGCGUGCCGAGGCAGGAGGCUGAGGAGCGGAUGUGUAGACAGCUCAGGGGGACAAGUGAUUAGGAUGAGAGUAUAGGACAAAAAAAUACACAUGAUACAUAAAUAGGGAAAUCUCAAAUUCAUUGUGUAGAUCGGGUACGGGUAUGUGAUUGUGCCUGAAUGAAGCCUUCACACGUACCCAAACCUGACGGGUGUCAUCCCUACUUCCAUGUCAUGGCUAAGAACAGAACAAAUCACUUCAACCCUCCUUUGGUUUGUAGGAUUGUAUGAAUUCUAUAGCAUAGAAUUUUCGAAGGAAACAUUCCUUUGGAGCCAUUUGGUUUAUACGAACGGAUUCUUGUGCCUAUGUAGUAGGAACCAAUCCUUCACAUUUCAAAAUGAAAAAAGCAUUAGCCCAAACUCAAUUAAAAAAUUCCUAUGAUAUGCAUUAAACGACAUUUUUUUUCCUUUUUUAUAGGAAUCAAGAUACAUGUCAUCUCAUUUGACAUGAUUUUCUUAUUCUUGUUCAUAUCUCUUUCGCGUGAUGCACAUAUAUCUGACUUCAAUACACAGGAAAUAUGAAUAAAAUGCCUUCCGCAUGAUGUGCAUAUAUCUGACUUCAAUACACUGGAAAUGCUUCUGGUGGUUCAGUUAAAACCAUACAUCGAUGUAUCAAUGGCAUAUUAUCUGACUUUACACUGUUCUUGUUCUUUUAGUUAUAAGGUGUAUCAGAAUGACUUGCAAUCACAGACGAAGCAUAGAGAUUUGUUGUUCAAAACUUCAAAUGUCUUGCAUGCUUGAUCAAGUUUGCAAUGGUUUCAAAGUAUUCAUGCCCAAUAUAGGGCAUCUGCUGGAGCAAAAGAGUUUCAGGUGAUGAAAAAUAUUCUUUCUUGUGAUGUAAAUCUACUUUUUGUGCGCCCAAUUACCAUCACAAACACAGUAGGUACAUAAAUUUGCACGCACAGAAUAUGUAAAACUAGGUUCCGUGAACCAAAAUGUUUAAAGAAACUCUGCAUAAGCAUCUCUGAAACAUCCAACAGAACAAACACGAUAUGAUAUUUAAGGUAUCUCAGACGCGGCACACAGAUAUUGCACAGAAAACAGUUAUGAACUUCAGAUGCUCCAAAAUCAGGCUAACCCUUCAUAAUACCAGAAAGCUAAAGCUUCAUGUCAGACCUUCACUUCUUGGCCUUGGCCUUCUUUGGUGCCCUGUAAACGAUGCAAAUUGGAGAAGGUAAGAUAAAACGGAACGAAACACAUUAACUAUGUGGAGAAAGAUUUCGGAUGGAGAUGCUUACGCUGCUGCCGGAGCUGGAGCUGCAGCCGCUGGUGCUGGUGCAUGAUCUCUGGGGCCCUGUUUGCCAAAUAGUACCAAGUCAACCAAAUUGGUCUAACAACAAAAACCUUGCUGGAUAGCAGUAGCAAGUAACAAAAUUUAAUCAAGUACAAAUAGCUUGCUACAUUCAACACGAACAUCCAGCUCUGAACGGUCUGUUAUCUAAGAUCAACAGACAAAUUUCACCAAGUAUAGCAAGCCCCACAAUGGUAGUAAAAGAUGAUAAUAAGAUUUCUAAUUUCUCAGGUAACAUGUGUAAACAUCAAGUAUUUCAGAAUUCAAUAUAGUGCAUAGACAGGCUAGGUGAAAACAUCAUCUUACCUGAGCCAAUCUCUCCUCCCUCCUGGCAUGCUUCCUCUCCCUGCUAGCCUUGCUCUUGGCGCGCUUCGCCUCAAACUGAUCAGAGAGGGUCUUCUCUCUUGCCUUCUCAGCCUUGGACUUGUGGAUACUCUCCAUGAGGACCCUCUUGUUCUUGAACAUGUUACCCUUGACCUUCAGGUACAUGUCAUGGUACAUGUGCUUGUCGAUCUUCUUGGCCUCACGGUACUUGCGCAG